This 133-nucleotide long non-coding RNA is filed under the name Fukomys damarensis (Damara mole-rat). RNAcentral describes it as "lncRNA (ENSFDAG00000031710.1)". The record is from RNAcentral. Lineage: Eukaryota; Metazoa; Chordata; Mammalia; Rodentia; Bathyergidae.
GAAGAAACUAAGCCAAGAUCUAAGAUCACAGAACAUUCUGAAGAGGCUGCCAGGCACAUUCAGGAAUUCCAAUUUCCCAAACCAGGUCGGUGAGUACUUUUCAAGACAGGAUGCAAAAGGAGCUUAAAGCCAA